CUCUGGGAGAAUACUGGGACACACCUUGCUCCAAAACCACUACACUGAGCUGUAUUUUUUGUGGUGCUUAACCCCUUAAGGACACAUGACAUGUGUGACAAGUUAUGAUUCCCUUUUAUUCCAGAAGUUUGGUCCUUAAGGGGUUAAAGGACCACUACAGACACCCAGACCACUUCAGCUCAAUGAAGUGGUCUGGGUGCCAGGUCCCUGACGUUUUAACCCUCA
This is a non-coding RNA of Pelobates cultripes (western spadefoot toad), 225 nucleotides long. The record is from the annotation of a GenBank genome assembly. Lineage: Eukaryota; Metazoa; Chordata; Amphibia; Anura; Pelobatidae.